Molecule: ribosomal RNA, 440 nt
Filed under: uncultured bacterium
Lineage: Bacteria
Description: partial 16S ribosomal RNA
Rfam family: Bacterial small subunit ribosomal RNA
Source: RNAcentral
CCUACGGGAGGCAGCAGUGGGGAAUAUUGCACAAUGGGGGAAACCCUGAUGCAGCGACGCCGCGUGAGUGAUGAAGUAUUUCGGUAUGUAAAGCUCUAUCAGCAGGGAAGAAAAUGACGGUACCUGACUAAGAAGCCCCGGCUAACUACGUGCCAGCAGCCGCGGUAAUACGUAGGGGGCAAGCGUUAUCCGGAUUUACUGGGUGUAAAGGGAGCGUAGACGGCAGUGCAAGUCAGGUGUGAAAUGCCGGGGCUCAACCCCGGAACUGCUUUGGAAACUGUGCAGCUAGAGUGCAGGAGAGGUAGGUGGAAUUCCUAGUGUAGCGGUGAAAUGCGUAGAUAUUAGGAGGAACACCAGUGGCGAAGGCGGCUUACUGGACUGUAACUGACGUUGAGGCUCGAAAGCGUGGGGAGCAAACAGGAUUAGAUACCCUGGUAGUC